This 236-nucleotide ribosomal RNA is filed under the name uncultured bacterium. Its description in RNAcentral is "partial 16S ribosomal RNA". It matches the Rfam family "Bacterial small subunit ribosomal RNA", at positions 524 to 757 of the family's 1533-position model. The record is from RNAcentral.
GACAGAGGGUGCAAACGUUGUUCGGAAUUACUGGGCGUAAAGCGCGUGUAGGCGGCCAUCUAAGUCGGGCGUGAAAUCCCACGGCUCAACCGUGGAAGUGCACUCGAAACUGGAUGGCUAGAGUCCUGGAGAGGAAGGUGGAAUGCUUGGUGUAGAGGUGAAAUUCGUAGAUAUCAAGCGGAACACCGGUGGCGAAGGCGGCCUUCUGGGACAGUGACUGACGCUGAGACGGCGAA